Molecule: ribosomal RNA, 497 nt
Filed under: uncultured bacterium
Lineage: Bacteria
Description: partial 16S ribosomal RNA
Rfam family: Bacterial small subunit ribosomal RNA
Source: RNAcentral
GAUGAACGCUGGCGGCGUGCCUAAUACAUGCCAGUCGAGCGAACAGACGAGGAGCUUGCUCCUCUGACGUUAGCGGCGGACGGGUGAGUAACAGGUGGAUAACCUACCUAUAAGACUGGGAUAACUUCGGGAAACCGGAGCUAAUACCGGAUAAUAUAUUGAACCGCAUGGUUCAAUAGUGAAAGACGGUUUUGCUGUCACUUAUAGAUGGAUCCGCGCCGCAUUAGCUAGUUGGUAAGGUAACGGCUUAGCAAGGCAACGAUGCGUAGCCGACCUGAGAGGGUGAUCGGCCACACUGGAACUGAGACACGGUCCAGACUCCUACGGGAGGCAGCAGUAGGGAAUCUUCCGCAAUGGGCGAAAGCUUGACGGAGCAACGCCGCGUGAGUGAUGAAGGUCUUCGGAUCGUAAAACUCUGUUAUUAGGGAAGAACAAAUGUGUAAGUAACUAUGCACGUCUUGACGGUACCUAAUCAGAAAGCCACGGCUAACUACGUG